AACGAACGCUGGCGGCGUGGAUAAGACAUGCAAGUCGAACGGGAUAACAUCUGUAGCAAUACAGGUGUUAUUUAGUGGCGAACGGGUGCGUAACACGUGGGCAAUCUGCCGAGAAGUGGGGGAUAGCUCGCCGAAAGGCGAAUUAAUACCGCAUAUGAUCAGUGAAGACAUCUUCACGACAUCAAAGCCGGGGCAACCUGGCGCUUCUUGAUGAGCCCGCGGCCUAUCAGCUAGUUGGUGAGGUAACGGCUCACCAAGGCUAUGACGGGUAGCUGGUCUGAGAGGACGACCAGUCACACUGGAACUGAGACACGGUCCAGACACCUACGGGUGGCAGCAGUCGAGAAUUUUUCUCAAUGGGGCAACCCUGAAGGAGCGACGCCGCGUGGAGGAUGAAGGCGUUUC
RNAcentral lists this ribosomal RNA (405 nucleotides) under uncultured bacterium. Its description in RNAcentral is "bacterial SSU rRNA". It matches the Rfam family "Bacterial small subunit ribosomal RNA", at positions 29 to 420 of the family's 1533-position model. The record is from RNAcentral.